GAAGCAUUCUCAGAAACUUCUUUGUGAUAUUUGCAUUCAACUCACAGAGUUGAGCAUACCUUUUCAUAGAGCAGUUUUGAAACACUCUUUUUGUAGAAUCUGCAAGAGGAUAUUUGGACCGCUUUGAGACCUUCGUUGGAAAUGGGAAAAUCUUCACAUAAAAACUAGACAGAAGCAUUCUCAGAAACUUCUUUGAGUUGUUUGCAUUCAACUCACAGAGUUGAACCUUGCUUUUGAUAGAGCAGUUUUG
RNAcentral lists this long non-coding RNA (250 nucleotides) under Homo sapiens (human). Its description in RNAcentral is "HSALNT0326433". The record is from RNAcentral. Lineage: Eukaryota; Metazoa; Chordata; Mammalia; Primates; Hominidae.